Molecule: unclassified non-coding RNA, 220 nt
Filed under: Hevea brasiliensis (rubber tree)
Lineage: Eukaryota; Viridiplantae; Streptophyta; Magnoliopsida; Malpighiales; Euphorbiaceae
Source: RNAcentral
AUUGGAUCCUGCUGCAGAAAGAGAAGGACUUGCAGUCAAGAAAACGAAGGAGGUGAAAAAGAUUAGACCCAGAUGGGAUUUUGGGGUCGAAGCCAUGGAUGGAAAUCGGGAUUCGGAAGUGAAAGAUUUGGGUGAAAAGAAAAGGAGGAUCUCAGUUGGUGAAGAAAUUCAAAUUGAUUUGGUGAGGUUUAUGGAUUUUCUGGAGGAACAGGGAACUCAG